RNAcentral lists this long non-coding RNA (1145 nucleotides) under Cicer arietinum (chickpea). Its description in RNAcentral is "long non-coding RNA (CARI_LNC002089)". Lineage: Eukaryota; Viridiplantae; Streptophyta; Magnoliopsida; Fabales; Fabaceae. The record is from RNAcentral.
UGUAAUUUCAUAAACUCAAUCUGAAGGUUUUCUUGCUCCUUGCCACCAUUUUGAAGUUCUUCAUCCUUUUAUUUCAAGAUCUCGUCUUUGGCUUUCAAGAGCUCAUCGGUUUUCUCUUUCUCGAGAUGCAAUUGUUGUAGUUUUUCCUACAUGUCGAGCAAAUCUUGUUCCUUUGGUUUUCACUUCGAAUCUGGAACGUUCACAGCUAAGAUGUUGGCAUCAUUGGUUGAUGAGGUUUUGGGGGAAAAUAGUUUUGGAGUUAGAGCGAGAACAAUUUCAGAUAGUGAAAUAGAACGCGGGGUAAUUUCAUAAAGAGAAAAUGGAGCGCGGGGUAAAAGAAAAACGUGUUUCUCUUCAAAUUGAGGCCGCGGUUGUAGGAAAUUGUCGCAUCAACCGUCGCAAACAAUGAAAGAGGGCGGUUCCUUGGCAACCGUCGCAAUUUAUGUGCUACUAUCUUCAAUUUUUUUUGUAGAGAUUUAAAAAUCUGAAGGGACAAUUUUUUAGUAAAGAGGUAGAAAGAGAAUUUGGGACGAAGCAAAAAAGGGAGAAGAGAGAAACCUCAUAUUUUUUUCCAGAGCUUUGGCGUGUCUUGAAAACUGAGCAGAAUUUUUUACUCAUAGAGGAAUUUUGCAACCGAGUGAAGCAAAAAACAUGGAUCAAUUUGACUGGAUUUUCAAAACUAUCGCGUGCCAAAUUUGAUCGGAUAUGCAAAAUUGUUACGCGAAAAAUGGGAGGAGUUGAACGAGAUCGAAUCAGUUAUUGACUCAGUGGAGGGUUUAAGAAAAACGUAGAGAAAAAAAUGCAUGCUAAAAGAUAUUUUUAUUUUUUUCGUGUACAAAAAAAUAAUAUACAACUUACCCCUAACCUAACCCUGCAGACUAGACGGCGACAACAUCUAUGUGGUUAUCGGUUUCAGUGUGGUCUAUUCCAUUCAAAGAGUUGGGUAUCCUUUAGGGCACACUCCAAAAGUCAUACCUCUAUCUUAUAAAACUACUAGUGUUGAUAUCUCUCAUAAGUAAGACUUCUACAUAUUUUCAAUUCACACAAUAUUAGUUCUAACUUUCAACACUUGUGCUUAAGUUCCAACAUCAUUUCCUAUAUGUGCCAUCAACUUGGACACAACACAUCUACAUAUAAAAUACCAC